Molecule: ribosomal RNA, 493 nt
Filed under: uncultured bacterium
Lineage: Bacteria
Description: partial 16S ribosomal RNA
Rfam family: Bacterial small subunit ribosomal RNA
Source: RNAcentral
GACGAACGCUGGCGGCGUGCUUAACACAUGCAAGUCGAACGGUGAAGGGACCGGUUUUUGCUGGUUCUGGAUGAGUGGCGAACGGGUGAGUAACACGUGAGUAACCUGCCCCCUUCUUCUGGAUAACCGCAUGAAAGUGUGGCUAAUACGGGAUAUUCUGCGCCUGCUGCAUGGUGGGUGUGGGAAAGAUAUUGUUUCGGUGGGGGAUGGGCUCGCGGCCUAUCAGCUUGUUGGUGGGGUGAUGGCCUACCAAGGCGGUGACGGGUAGCCGGCCUGAGAGGGUGGACGGUCACACUGGGACUGAGACACGGCCCAGACUCCUACGGGAGGCAGCAGUGGGGAAUAUUGCACAAUGGGCGCAAGCCUGAUGCAGCGACGCCGCGUGAGGGAUGGAGGCCUUCGGGUUGAAAACCUCUUUCGCCAGUGAAGCAGGCCUGUCCCUUUUGUGGGUGGGUUGACGGUAGCUGGAUAAGAAGCGCCGGCUAACUACGUG